Long non-coding RNA from Chlamydotis undulata (Houbara bustard), 63 nucleotides. It matches the Rfam family "Neighbour of BRCA1 gene 2 converved region". NCBI's taxonomy places the organism in Eukaryota, Metazoa, Chordata, Aves, Otidiformes, Otididae. The record is from Rfam.
AUUAGUGUUUCGUUUGACGUGGACAAAGUUCAGAUCAAAUACAUUGAUGAGGAUAAUGAUGAG